AUCGCUUCUCGGCCUUUUGGCUAAGAUCAAGUGUAGCAUCUGUUCUUAUCAGUUUAAUAGAAUGAGCACCCAGAGUGCCGUUUAAGACUCAUU
This 93-nucleotide small nuclear RNA is filed under the name Panthera leo (lion). RNAcentral describes it as "U2 spliceosomal RNA (ENSPLOG00000014363.1)". It matches the Rfam family "U2 spliceosomal RNA". From Rfam's summary of the family: U2 is a small nuclear RNA (snRNA) component of the spliceosome (involved in pre-mRNA splicing). The record is from Rfam by way of RNAcentral. Lineage: Eukaryota; Metazoa; Chordata; Mammalia; Carnivora; Felidae.